Molecule: long non-coding RNA, 1346 nt
Organism: Ostrea edulis (European flat oyster)
Lineage: Eukaryota; Metazoa; Mollusca; Bivalvia; Ostreida; Ostreidae
Exons: 2
Source: RefSeq, a predicted model, not a curated record
UCUUAAUCAUGCAUUUAGUUUUUAUACAGUAUCAGCAAACAUAAAGAAGUCUUUCAAAUGAUAAACACCCGUCAGUGUACCCCUCGAUACCUGUAUUUAUUCACCUGAGUUUAGGUUUCCACUGUCUUCAGACCGUGUUCCACGCAACGCAGUAGCAUGGGUUCCUGCAAAUUCUCUUUUUGUCAAACUUUGAAGUUUAAGUUAAAAUUUUUGAGUUAAGUUACAGACACGACUUCUGAGGUCCCGAUGACUUAUGGUACUUGGUGUUCCACAUAAACGGACCAAAUGUGAGCAUGCAUUGCUAAUAACGAAUACCUGAGCCAGCAGUGGAUAGUGAUUAUGUACAAUAUAUCUACAAUAUAAAGUGAAAAUGUUUAAAAUCUUGUUUUUGAUUCUCAAUCCUGGAAGCCAUCCCAGUCAACUUGUAACAAUAUAUACCAAGUUUGGCCCAACCCUGGAGUCAGAACCUCUACCCCAGGAAUCAUUUGGUGGAGGCCUUCCUGCUCUACACUUCUAUGCAAUUAGUUUUUCCUACAGAUGUACAAUUGUAAAAAAAAUAUUUUCGAAUAUGACCAAUGUAUGGCAGUUUUUACCCCGCCCAUAAGACCCCUGGGGUGCAGAACCCCUGAAAUUUACAUCUUACGUCACCCUUAUCCUAAAGAUGUGUCAUACCAAAUUUGGGGAAAUGGAAUGGUAGUUAUCAAGAAGUUAAAAAUGUUUAAUUGUUAAUGUUCGAAACUAACCAUAGAUUGAUAGACCCAAUCUAUGCCAAAUGACACUGGUCUAUGCCAAAUGAGAGAGACCAAAUUGUCUAUGCCGAUUUUCAGGAUUUAAAGCAAUAAAGUUAUCCCGAAGGACUCAGCAUGGUCAUUCAAUGUCUGAUAAAUAUUACGAGGAAAGGAAGAUAUUGUUAUGGAAAUGGAAAGAAAAUAUGCUUUCUAAGUACAUUAGAAGUAAAUGAAAAUGUUAUAAAUUUGUGUUAUUUUUUUUCAAUGUUGCAGUCUAUGCCAAUUCGAUGAGGUCCAUGUCGUCUUGUUUUGGCAUAGACCUGUGGUCUAUACCAAGUUUUAAACCAAUUUCGAACACUGUUAAUCACUGACUAUUUUGGCCCCACCCUGAUGCCAAAACCUCUAACCCUCGGAUCAUCAAAUUUACAAUUUUGGUAAAAGACUACCUGCUCAUUCUAGUUAUCCAUAUAGUUUCAAUUUAGUAUCAAUAGCACUAAAGAAGAUGUUUCAAAUUACACAUAAACACUAUAGACCAAGUUUGGCCCCUUUCUGGAGUCAGAACCUCUCAGUGUGCCAGGGAUCAUGAAAUUUACAACUUUGGUAGAUGCCUUCCUGCUC